UACGAAGGGGGCUAGCGUUGUUCGGAUUUACUGGGCGUAAAGCGCGUGUAGGCGGGUCGUUAAGUCGGGGGUGAAAUCCCGGGGCUCAACCCCGGAACUGCCUUCGAUACUGGUCGUCUGGAGUCCGAGAGAGGUGAGUGGAAUUCCGAGUGUAGAGGUGAAAUUCGUAGAUAUUCGGAGGAACACCAGUGGCGAAGGCGGCUCACUGGCUCGGUACUGACGCUGAGGUGCGAAAGCGUGGGGAGCAAACAGG
RNAcentral lists this ribosomal RNA (253 nucleotides) under uncultured prokaryote. RNAcentral describes it as "partial 16S ribosomal RNA". It matches the Rfam family "Bacterial small subunit ribosomal RNA", at positions 524 to 776 of the family's 1533-position model. The record is from RNAcentral.